GACGAACGCUGGCGGCGUGCUUAACACAUGCAAGUCGAACGGAAAGGCCCUGCUUUUGUGGGGUGCUCGAGUGGCGAACGGGUGAGUAACACGUGAGUAACCUGCCCUUGACUUUGGGUUAACUUCGGGAAACUGGGGCUAAUACCGGAUAGGAGCUCCUGCUGCAUGGUGGGGGUUGGAAAGUUUCGGCGGUUGGGGAUGGACUCGCGGCUUAUCAGCUUGUUGGUGGGGUAGUGGCUUACCAAGGCUUUGACGGGUAGCCGGCCUGAGAGGGUGACCGGCCACAUUGGGACUGAGAUACGGCCCAGACUCCUACGGGAGGCAGCAGUGGGGAAUAUUGCACAAUGGGCGGAAGCCUGAUGCAGCAACGCCGCGUGCGGGAUGACGGCCUUCGGGUUGUAAACCGCUUUCGCCUGUGACGAAGCGUGAGUGACGGUAAUGGGUAAAGAAGCACCGGCUAACUACGUG
Molecule: ribosomal RNA, 468 nt
Filed under: uncultured bacterium
Lineage: Bacteria
Description: partial 16S ribosomal RNA
Rfam family: Bacterial small subunit ribosomal RNA
Source: RNAcentral